RNAcentral lists this ribosomal RNA (744 nucleotides) under Streptomyces sp. VTT E-042399. RNAcentral describes it as "bacterial SSU rRNA". It matches the Rfam family "Bacterial small subunit ribosomal RNA", at positions 43 to 804 of the family's 1533-position model. The record is from RNAcentral. Lineage: Bacteria; Bacillati; Actinomycetota; Actinomycetes; Kitasatosporales; Streptomycetaceae.
CGUGCUUAACACAUGCAAGUCGAACGAUGAAGCCUUUCGGGGUGGAUUAGUGGCGAACGGGUGAGUAACACGUGGGCAAUCUGCCCUUCACUCUGGGACAAGCCCUGGAAACGGGGUCUAAUACCGGAUAACACUCUGUCCUGCAUGGGACGGGGUUAAAAGCUCCGGCGGUGAAGGAUGAGCCCGCGGCCUAUCAGCUUGUUGGUGGGGUAAUGGCCUACCAAGGCGACGACGGGUAGCCGGCCUGAGAGGGCGACCGGCCACACUGGGACUGAGACACGGCCCAGACUCCUACGGGAGGCAGCAGUGGGGAAUAUUGCACAAUGGGCGAAAGCCUGAUGCAGCGACGCCGCGUGAGGGAUGACGGCCUUCGGGUUGUAAACCUCUUUCAGCAGGGAAGAAGCGAAAGUGACGGUACCUGCAGAAGAAGCGCCGGCUAACUACGUGCCAGCAGCCGCGGUAAUACGUAGGGCGCAAGCGUUGUCCGGAAUUAUUGGGCGUAAAGAGCUCGUAGGCGGCUUGUCACGUCGGAUGUGAAAGCCCGGGGCUUAACCCCGGGUCUGCAUUCGAUACGGGCUAGCUAGAGUGUGGUAGGGGAGAUCGGAAUUCCUGGUGUAGCGGUGAAAUGCGCAGAUAUCAGGAGGAACACCGGUGGCGAAGGCGGAUCUCUGGGCCAUUACUGACGCUGAGGAGCGAAAGCGUGGGGAGCGAACAGGAUUAGAUACCCUGGUAGUCCACGCCGUA